Engraulis encrasicolus (European anchovy) is the source of this 2833-nucleotide long non-coding RNA. RefSeq lists it as uncharacterized. The record is from RefSeq and is a predicted model, not a curated record. NCBI's taxonomy places the organism in Eukaryota, Metazoa, Chordata, Actinopteri, Clupeiformes, Engraulidae. The transcript has 3 exons.
AAAGCGAGAAGACAGGACUUUCUGUUUAAUUUCGGCCGCCGGUGUCAGCAUUUCACAACGACAGCAUUUGGUGUGCGCGGCCAGUCCUAUUCAAAAUCCCCCGUAGCUAGAGGUAGAGCUCUAGACAUUGGCCGAGACCAGGCAGAAAGACGUCUCGCUGCCGUUCUGCCACGCUCGUGUGUGAAUCUGGCCCAGGGAAAAGAAAAUCCUAAUUACAACUGGUCUACAUUGCGUCCUACUACAGCAUGUUGCGCGUGCUCCGAUGUGUUUGAGUUUAUGAGCAAGCCUUUAUGCGUUGCUUUGUGGACAGUGAGAGCUUUGCGGCGCAUUUAGGGAAAUCAGUGGAGUGCGCUUUGAAACGCACUGAGGCGAGCCGUCAUAAAGUUCGUCAGCUUCAGUGAGAGCCAUGUUAACCCAAUCCACAGUCAGACCAAAUACAAUUCUAAGCGGGUUCUGAAUACAGACGUGGCGUGUAGUCAAUCCACCUGACUAAUAAACUGGUGUUCUUUUUUGAACGUUGCACACCUGCGUAAACUGUAAGCUGCAAUGAAUUAGAUUAGAGCAGGGGUGCCCAACGAGUCGAUCGCGAGGUACCAGUCGAUCUCGAGGGGAGUGGCAGUCGAGAGACAUGUAAUGUGACAGGGAAAUACUGUCUUUCAAAAGUAGGCUAUGUAGUAAGCUGCUGGUACUACUGUAUUGGUUAGAUAAUUAGUCCCACUGUAACACAGAAUGAGGGGAAAGCAUUAGGAAGUGACCGUAAGGGUAUUGCAGUUGAUUCAUGUGUGCACACAUGUAACAUCGGGUGAGUAACAGAACAUGUGCGCAACGAUGCGUUAUGACGCGGCGAUAUGCGAGGAUCUUUGUCCAAAUCGCUAGUCGCAUGCAUCAUCGCUAACUGCGUUUACAUCGCGUGCCGCGUGUAAGGGAAAUGUUAGCUGACAUGUAUGGAAUUCACUUCAAUUUGUGCUGUUUCCUGCUCCAGUUGUGGACAGAACGAUUGGCCAAACUCACAAUAGAAAGCCUUUGCUCUGCUACUGUCCCAGAGAGCUGGGAAAAAAAACCUUCAUAGAAGAAGUCACUCUUAACAAGGGUGUUAACCAAUUCAAUGAGUUCUCUCAUUGCUCUCUCUCUCUCUCUCUCUCUCUCUCUCUCUCUCUCUCUCUCUCUCUCUCUCUCUCUCUCUCUCUCUCUCUCUCUCUCUCUCUCUCUCUCUCUCUCUCUCUCUCUCAUAGUAAAGUGAACUUAACUGGCCUACUAUUUACCCAUAACAAAUGGUGAAGUUCUGAGCCCUUUUUAAUUUUGACCACUGAAGUCAUGAUAAUGCUUCAUCAUAUUUUAGAAAUAGGGCCCAUGUGCCUACAUAUGCCUUUUAUAUACCAAAUGUUUAUCAUUUUGAAAUUGUUUCAGUUGUUUAUGACUUGUGUAGGACUGAAAUUAUCUCUGCAUACUACAAAGCAAUGCAGCACUGCAUUGCUUUGUAAACGUAGGCUAUUCAACACACUUUAAAAACACACUGAAAAGAUACGGCCAUAGUAGCCUACUGAAAACAUUUUGUUCAUAAUAAUGGUGAUUAAUAAAUGGUGAUCUUAAAUUUUCAUACUGACAUCCUGAAAUUUGACUUGGUAGAUCACGGCAGACCAUCAACUUCAAAAGUAGAUCUCGGUUAAAAAAAAGGUUGGGCACCCCUGGAUUAGAGUUUAGGCUACUUUAUUUAUGUAUGCUCACUUAACCAAGAAGCCUAAAUAAGGCAGUGGCCUGUUAAUUCAAAAUGACUAAUUUUAAAACAUUGUUACCAUAGUGAAACAAAAUGUAACUGUAAAAACUGUGUGUAACAUUUGAUAAAUAUAAUCAAUUACUGAUAUUGUUUAUUACAGAAAUGUACCACGUGAUGCAGUAGCCUGUUGAUGCUGGCAAAAGAUGCAAUCUGGAGGAUUUCAGGGUACGUUUUACUAUGCUUCAAUGUUAGGUGAGAUGAAUGUAAUGCAGUGUUUCCCAACCAGGGGUACGUGUACCACUAGGAGUAUGUUUUAUUUUAUGAAUAAAAACAAAUGUAUGGUCAUGAUCAUAUUGGGAUAGAGAACAUGAGUGAGGUGGUACUCAUACUAUGACAAAAAUGCUUAGGGGGUACUCAAGACGAAAAAGGUUGGGAGACACUGAUGUAUGCCCAGAUCAUGUAAACUUACGCCCAGAGCAAAGUCACAGGCAGUGUGCUUCUCUUGCAUUCACAGACUGCCCAUGCUUUUUUAAAGAGAUAAGUUAGAAUGCUUUGCAUAUCUAUUUGUGUAGAGUUAAUCACCAAGACAAUUUCCAGAAGUUGUAUCCAGGUGUCAAUUGUGUCCUUGUUCUGGUGUUGUUAUUUUCAAACAGAGAUGGCUCUUGCUCACUGGCAGUGACUUGGGUCAUGUGAGACAGCAUCAGAGCUCGGGUGACAUCUCUCGCUCGGGUGAAAUCUCUCCUGGAAGAUUUCAAGGUGUGUGCAGAGUUCUGAAGAAUAAAAGUCAACAGUCAAGUUCUUCUCCAUAUUCUCCAAAUCUGACGGAGGCGUUCCAUCAGGAAAGGGGGAAUGGUUGGUCGAUGCCUCCAGAAUAAUGAUACCCAUGACCCAGGCACAACAUGCUGACAGGGAAUCGGCUAUGGCAGAAAGCAUCCAUGCCAUCUACGUGAUCCGCCAUGAAGGUUCAGAAGCUACUGACAGUCCUGAGGACAUCGGAAUCAUUUUCAAAGGGGUGACUGCAUUUGGCUGCUUGCCAAACAUCCUACCCAGGCUCCGCCCUCGCAGUGACGCAACACCUUCGGCUCUGCUACACACACUCAGGAAAACUUUGUUCAGGUA